Non-coding RNA from Lolium perenne, 1554 nucleotides. The record is from RefSeq and is a predicted model, not a curated record. NCBI's taxonomy places the organism in Eukaryota, Viridiplantae, Streptophyta, Magnoliopsida, Poales, Poaceae.
AUAGCCAACUGGCGCUCUUCAUCGUGAGUCAUUCGAUCUAGGAGCGCAGCCCGCGUCAAUCCCCGCCGUUCGUCCACUCCCAGUUCCCCUCAACGCGGGGUAAAACCCUAGCCCCGAGCCGCCGCCAGCCUCAUUCUCUUCCUCGUUUGUUCCUCUCUCCCACGGCCCGCGUUGUUUUCCUCCUUCUAUUGCGAUGCCACCCCGACCUGCCUCCAUGGAACGCCCCACCUCUCCUCCUCCAUCCUUCUCCCUCGAUGAGCUCGCACUACCCCCUCGCUCUGCCUCUCCUUCGUGCUCGGUGGGCCGAACACACGUGGCCGUGGCGACCAGUGGAGGAGAACAACUAACCAACUAGAAAAGCAGCAGGACCGGCAGCGACAAAUAUUCCUUCAAGGCACCGCAACAGUCAGGAUCAGAAGGUUGUUUUACUUGAUGGAGGUGCACACCGUUCAGACUUCAGAGUAUGCAGACAAGACAAGCAAUGAACUUCAAUUUUAUUUUCCCACGUGGGUGCUCCAGUGACCAUGAUAAGUUGUGUUUAGCUUGCUACGUCCUGGGUACAGUGUGUACAGGAAAUUAAUCUUUAGACCGACUGAUUUCACACAAAUAAUUGAUGCAAAAAAUCUUUGGCAUAUAAUUUUUGUGUUAGGGCCCUCUACAUGUUUGUUGUUAUGCUUCAUACAGCUGAAUCUAUUUGCUUGAUGUUUUUUUGACUGCCUACACAUGCUCAUAGACAGCGCACGUCACUGGCGAGCAAAUGCAAUCGUGGCCCAUGGGUGCACUUGGGUGGUCAUUGUGGUUGGCUGCGGAGCAUCAGUGAAGUGUAAAAUUUCCAGAUAAGACAAUAGAUAAUGAGCUAUCUUCAGAAAUCUGUAGAAAAGCAAUAUCUGAGCUCGAAGAAACCAAUUGGCAUGAACGGAUAAAAUUUAAAACUAGACCUAGCUGAAACUUGAUGAGAUCCGCAUGACAGAAACUGUAUGUGUAGCAAAGUUUGGAUGAGAAUGUUCAAUUAGUUGGAAUUCAGGUGGCUCCCUAUGUGGGAAUUGAGGUGAUCAGAAGUUCAUGAAAAUUUUAAGAAAUGGGUUUGGAUGAUGUAAGCUUCCCUGUUCAUUGCCAGCCCACCUGAUCCUCCAGAAAUGAUUACAGACCAGACAAGAUAUGGCCAAAGAUCAUCCUAGGAGUGGUGGGGCACUCCAAAUUGUUUUGAGUUCAUCUAAUUGCUUAUUGACCGGGGUUUCUUUAAACAUUUUGCUUCUGUUCAUACAUCGAUUCUGGGAUAAUCAGAUACUUGACAUAGUUCCAAUCGCGUGUGUACGUCUUCCUUAAAUGGCUUUUUUCGAAGAAGCUCAGAAUUAAUCGAUGAUGAUAGGAUGACAUGACAGUUUCCUGGUAAGACGACCAUGCGGAUUUGCAUGCCAAGGUCCAAGACAUGUACCUCCCAUGACUUGAUGAAGCAUCUGAGAGCUUUCACAUCGAAGACUGGACAGGAGUAGCAUGCCAACAGGAAAAUUGUGAACAAAGAGAACUGCGACGGUCCCUCAGAAGAAUUGAUCA